AUGAACGCUAGCGGCAGGCCUAAUACAUGCAAGUCGAACGGGAUCCAGAUCAAAGCUUGCUUUGGUCUGGUGAGAGUGGCGCACGGGUGCGUAACGCGUGAGCAACCUACCCUUGUCAGGGGGAUAGCCCGGCGAAAGUCGGAUUAAUACCGCAUGACAUCAUUGAGAGGCAUCUUUCGAUGAUCAAAGAUUUAUCGGACAAGGAUGGGCUCGCGUGACAUUAGCUAGUUGGUAAGGUAACGGCUUACCAAGGCUGCGAUGUCUAGGGGCUCUGAGAGGAGAAUCCCCCACACUGGUACUGAGACACGGACCAGACUCCUACGGGAGGCAGCAGUAAGGAAUAUUGGUCAAUGGACGGAAGUCUGAACCAGCCAUGCCGCGUGCAGGAAGACGGCCCUAUGGGUUGUAAACUGCUUUUAUACGGGAACAAACGUCGGUACGUGUACCGGUCUGAGUGUACCGUAAGAAUAAGGAUCGGCUAACUCCGUG
This 489-nucleotide ribosomal RNA is filed under the name uncultured bacterium. RNAcentral's name for it is "partial 16S ribosomal RNA". It matches the Rfam family "Bacterial small subunit ribosomal RNA", at positions 29 to 507 of the family's 1533-position model. The record is from RNAcentral.